AAAACUCCUGAUUUGGGACAACCCAGAUUCUAAUUGAACCUAAACCGACUUAGAACCAAUGAAAAAUCUCUAGAAUAUGGAAAUACCCGACCUAUCCUAACCCAAAAAAAAAUCUAUCCUUCCCGAUUCAGCCGACACAGCUCCUCCCCCACCUGCGUUUUCCGUUCACCGUCAUUAACCGCCAAACGGACCACCUCUCCUCGCUAACAGCUACAGCGGCCACUGACUUCUCCAUUCCGCCUCCUGUUAUUGCGUCGCAAGCGAGAGAGGGAGCUGCGAUUUCGAUCGACAGCUCGCUUUUCUCUCCUCGUUUCUCUGGUGACUCCAGCACGAUCGGACGACUCCAGCUUCACUCCCGUCAACGGCGUAGCUCCGCACUCUCCCUCUCCAUCGUCGUUCACCUGCUGGCACAGAAAACGCAAGGAACUGCGGUUGCGUUCCGAUCGGGACAGUAGCAGAACCAACCCUGUUCCUUCGUUUUUCCGGCGACACUUGUCCUUAGCCGCGUUUGUGAUCUGAUCUUCUCACUUGCAGCUUCUCCGACCACCAUCUCCUUCACUUUCGACCGAACUAGCAGCGGCACGAAUCGGUUUGGAGAAUAGAUCUAGUUGCCAAUUGUUCUAACCGGAAAUUCUGAUUUCCCAAGCGAUUUACUAUUGGGAAGUAGAUUCUUCUUUGUCUCGGUUAAAGCUCUGUUUCCUUCACUGUAGAGCUAGAAAAGAAAAUUUCCUAAUUUCAAUAAUUAUCUUAUUAUAUAGUUAUAUGUACGAAAACUUAUUUAUAUUUAUCUAUUAGUAAACUCCGCAGUUGUAGGAUUAUAACCGAUACACUUAUGUAGAUAUUUAGUUAUUCAUCUAUGUGAAAGCAUGAGCCAAUUAGCCUAUACUAUGGAUGCUUCGUAUUAUAGUUGAGCUCGAACUAUAAAAUAUUUAAGAUGCUAGAUUUGGGCCAAGAUAUAAUAUAAUUAUGAGAUUUUAUUA
Long non-coding RNA from Jatropha curcas, 980 nucleotides. RefSeq lists it as uncharacterized. The record is from RefSeq and is a predicted model, not a curated record. NCBI's taxonomy places the organism in Eukaryota, Viridiplantae, Streptophyta, Magnoliopsida, Malpighiales, Euphorbiaceae.